CCCCGCUGUGGUCUUUCCAGGUCCAUUUUCUGCUUCAGCUCUUAACGAUGCAUUUUAAGGAGGGCCAUGCACUCUCUGUCUCUGUACCCAGACUCCAGCAAGUGUAGGCUCAGCCACCCUUUCAGAUCCACUUCAAGCAAGCAGGACAGAAAGUGCUCCCCAUGGUUCUGUCUGAACUGGCUGACAUUCUGAGCACACACUGGGUCCCAGGCUGGAGUCAGGAACCUAGAGAUGUCCUGCCUCCUGGACUGGGUCAGACAGCCACAGAAUACAGGCUUCAAACCGCUUUUCACACCAUUCUGGUUGGAAAUGGAACCAUUGGAGGCUCAUCAUGUUACCUUCAGCAAGCAUGGAAACAAAUGAAGACACUGAGAAUGUCAGUGGUCAGCCUUUCAUUUAAAUCUUUGUAAAGGAAGUCUCUCGGUCAGUGUAACUCACUUGUGUGAAAUCAACCAUCCCCAUCUCACUGCUCCUUAAUCAAGGAAACCACCCAAUUUGUGUGGACUGAAACACGCAUUGCCUUUCAAGUUAAUCGAGUGCUUACUGCGCGUGACUCACUGUAAAAAGAUGGGAGAGAAGAUGAGGAGAUAAAUCAGGAGCAGGGCCUGCCUUCAGGGAAGCUACAAUUAGUUUCAGGAUGCAUAUUUCUUUCUUCUGCUCAUAGUUAAAAUUUUCUCUCAUACAAGAAACAAAUGAAUGGGAAAACAUAUUCUGCAAAUAUUUUAAGCUUCAUUAAUGAGAAACAAAAUAGAACAACAGCAGCAAAGCCAUCUGGGAAAUUCAAGACAUUUUAAUCCUUUAUUGUUUUAUUUUAUUACCUUGCAGUGCUAAAAUGUAAUCUAUUUUAUUUAUUCCAUAAAUGCAUGGUAAACUUUAGAGACACAAUGCUUUGAGUUAAUUUGAAUUCAAUUCUACUUUUGUCCUAUGCAUGUAAGUUGUCUGUUGGAAAACCCAUAUUGUUUAUAUAAUUCUUGGGAGGUAGGAUGCUGAGUCACACUUGUUGUAUCUACAGGCGUCUACCUUCUGUGACCUCAAGACCACCAUUCUGAGUGAGAUACUUGUGAGGAGAAGAGAAAGAUCUAGAUAAAAUUUGGGGGUUGGGACUCACAGACACAAGACCAGACAGAAAGCAACAAAACAUCUGGCAAAGGGAUCUUGGAAAUCUGGCUGAGCAAUUUUUAAAAGUAUUCAUCUGUUGUCUCCCAUAGCUUCAAUGGCUAAACAGUUUCCCUAAAGAUUCCUAUCAGACUUGAGAAUAAGUCAUUACUUUUCCAGUGUUAAGAUGCUGAUAUUACUAGAGACACCAGGCAUUUUAUGUCAUGUCUGUGACCUAUUUCUAUAUGGAUGAGCCUCGUUGUCUUGAGUAGUGUCCAUGUAAUUGAAAAUGUGACAAUUCUUUUAAAACGUCAUCAACAGACUUCCUAAUUAAGCUGCCAAUACAAACUGUCAAUAACACUGUGUGCUGUUUGACAAAUGAGUAGUGUUGCUUGAACCUUAUUAAAUAAAUAGUGCUGGCCCCUC
Molecule: long non-coding RNA, 1521 nt
Organism: Mesocricetus auratus (golden hamster)
Lineage: Eukaryota; Metazoa; Chordata; Mammalia; Rodentia; Cricetidae
Exons: 2
Source: RefSeq, a predicted model, not a curated record